Molecule: long non-coding RNA, 2125 nt
Filed under: Astyanax mexicanus (Mexican tetra)
Lineage: Eukaryota; Metazoa; Chordata; Actinopteri; Characiformes; Acestrorhamphidae
Description: lncRNA (ENSAMXG00005024350.1)
Source: RNAcentral
UUGUGCAUAGAGAAAUGGGGGAAAAGGGACAAAAGGACACAUAUAAUUGUGUUCAAUAUUAUUCAACCCCCACUGCAGUAAAGUGUUUUAGCAAGUUUAACAUUUAUUAAACAAGGGCUUGUAUAAUAAGGACUUGUAUAAUAGACAACUGCAACUUAAAUAAUAUUUUAAAUUUUAAAUAUUUUUUCUAAUAUACCAACAAAUGCCCGUUUGUGAUUUCCUCAUUGAUAACAUUAUUUAACUCUUCAGUCACAUACAACAUUAGUACUUGACACAAGUCUCUUGGAGCGAUCAACAGGUAUUUUAGCCCAUUGGGCGAAGGCUUCCAGUUCUUUAACAUUCUUGGGCUUCCGUGUUACAACUGCAUUCUUCAAGUGUCACCAGUGAUUUUCUAUGGGAUUUAAGUUGGGUAAUUGCGAUGGCCACUCCAGAAUCUUCCAGCCCUUCUUCUGCAACCAUGCCAUGGUAGAAUUGGAGGUAUAUUGGAGAGUGUUGUAAGCAUUUGCAGACAGCUUCCUUGUUCUGACACACCCAGUUAGUGUUUCCUCUGUACCUUUAAAUUUAAACUUGUGAAUUAUGCUUCCAGUUGUGUGUCUUGAAAUGUUUAAUGUCUUUAUAUCCAUAUCCUUGCUUAUGAAGAGCAAUUACCUCCUCUCUGGGCUUUUUUACUCAUUCCCUGGACUUGUUGCAAAUAUACCAUUAACUGUCUAGAAGGAGCUGAGUAUUUAAGUCCUUUUAAAUCUGCUUAAUUGUUGCUCUGUGGUGGUUCUGUGGGGUCCUGACCAUUAAAGAACAGGUGGUGGUCAUAAUAUUCACAUUAAUUAUUGUAAGGAGAUAAUGUAAAGUUGCAAUAUUAUGACAAUAAUAAAUUUGUUCUUAUCAGCAUGGUACUUUUCUCUGUGUUGCAGCUCCUGAAGAGUGCUCAUGCUACAGUUAUGAGCCGCUGCUGUAUUCUCUCUCAGCAGCAGCAGUGCUGCUAUUCCUGUGUGUGCUGGUGCUGGCCGCUGCCUACUGUAGGAGGCCGCCCAGCCAGCCCAAACCACCGGUAGCUCCCGUCUACGAGGAGAUGACCGGCGUGAGAACAGCCAGUGGAAAGGCAGGCGGUCAUCACCUGGGCCUGUAUUCAAACACGCAGGAGGAAGCAGACACAUCUGUAUACAUCCGCCCCCGCAAAGAGAACCCCUACGACCCCUUACCUGGGGGUGACCCCUACAGCUUAUAGGCUACUGAGGAGCACAAAGCAUGCCGCAUGAAACGAUCACCACUGAGAUCUUUAGUCCAGUAUAAAUCUGAAGAAUUUACAAUCGCACAGUAAACAUGAUUGAGAGAUUUUGUUCCAGCAUGAUUCUGUACAAUCUGUUUUUAUCACGAUGGACAGAUUUUGCCACAGUUUGAAUCUGUACUAUCAGUGCUUUGUUUACAGUCUAAUAGGAUUUACGAUAAAGAGAUUUUACUCCAGUAUGAAUCUGCAGAAUCUGUAGUUUUUAGUCUCUCAGUAAUGAUGGUGGACAGAUUUAAUUUCCAUAUGAAGCUGUAAAUCUGUAGUCUCACUCUCUCUAGAAUCUACUCCAGUAUGAAUCUGAAGAAUUAUGAUAGAGAGAUGUUGUUGUGGUGUGAAUCUUUAAAAUCAGUGUUUUUUACAAUCUAACUGUAAUUUCGAUGGAGAUAUUUUGUUCCAGUAUGAAUCUGUAAAAUCUGUGUUUUUACAGUCUCGCUCUAAUUAUAAUGAAGAUUUUGAUUCUGGUAUGAAUUUGUAAAAUCUGUUUUUAGAUUCUCGCUGUAAUUAUGAUGGUAUGGUUUUGUUCCAGUAUGAAUCUGCACAAUGUUUUUACAGUCUCGCUGUAAAUAUAAUGCAGACUUUUAUUAUGAAUUUUUAUUCUGCUAUUAUUCCAGUAUGAAUCUGUAGGUUUAAACCUUCUCAGUAAUUUUGGUGAAGAGAUUUUAUUUCAGUAAUUAAGUUCAGUAAUUUUUUAUCUCUGUAAUUGUGAUAAAUCUGUAUAAAUCUGUAGAAUUUACCCAAGUAAAUAUGGUGGAGAUUUUGUUCCAGUAUGAAUCUAUAAAAUGUGUUCUCAGUAAUUAUGGUGGAGAUAUUUUGCUUCAGUAUGAAUAUGUAUACGUGGCAGUU